This 253-nucleotide ribosomal RNA is filed under the name uncultured bacterium. Its description in RNAcentral is "partial 16S ribosomal RNA". It matches the Rfam family "Bacterial small subunit ribosomal RNA", at positions 524 to 776 of the family's 1533-position model. The record is from RNAcentral.
UACGGGGGGGGCAAGCGUUGUUCGGAAUUACUGGGCGUAAAGGGCUCGUAGGCGGCCAACUAAGUCAGACGUGAAAUCCCUCGGCUUAACCGGGGAACUGCGUCUGAUACUGGAUGGCUUGAGUUUGGGAGAGGGAUGCGGAAUUCCAGGUGUAGCGGUGAAAUGCGUAGAUAUCUGGAGGAACACCGGUGGCGAAGGCGGUUCUCUGGGCCUGUACUGACGCUGAGGAACGAAAGCGUGGGGAGCGAACAGG